RNAcentral lists this small RNA (198 nucleotides) under Arabidopsis thaliana (thale cress). RNAcentral describes it as "ATSL284270". Lineage: Eukaryota; Viridiplantae; Streptophyta; Magnoliopsida; Brassicales; Brassicaceae. The record is from RNAcentral.
UAUAUAUAUAUAUAUAUAUCUUAUUAUAUAAAGUAUGGUUUUGAAAAUUACUAACUCAUAGGAUUAUGCCAUGUGUCAAGUCUAUCGAUCAGAUAUUGACACGUGUAAGAAAAUAAUUAACUUUUUCCUUCUUAAAGAAAUAGAAAACUAAAAAAUAAAUCAUUAUUAACAUAUACUAAUUCAUAUGUCUAUAUCUAA